Molecule: ribosomal RNA, 253 nt
Filed under: uncultured bacterium
Lineage: Bacteria
Description: partial 16S ribosomal RNA
Rfam family: Bacterial small subunit ribosomal RNA
Source: RNAcentral
UACGUAGGGGGCUAGCGUUGUCCGGAAUCAUUGGGCGUAAAGCGCGUGUAGGCGGCUCGGUAAGUCCGCUGUGAAAGUCGGGGGCUCAACCCUCGGAUGCCGGUGGAUACUGUCGGGCUAGAGUACGGAAGAGGCGAGUGGAAUUCCCGGUGUAGCGGUGAAAUGCGCAGAUAUCGGGAGGAACACCUAUGGCGAAGGCAGCUCGCUGGGACGUUACUGACGCUGAGACGCGAAAGCGUGGGGAGCAAACAGG